GGUGAAACAUCGGUUCCCGUACGAUCACAGAAGUUAAGCAACGUCGAGCCUGGUCAGAACCUAGAUGGGUGACCCCUUGGAAAUAGAAAGUGCUGUAAG
This is a non-coding RNA of Acanthosepion pharaonis, 99 nucleotides long. Lineage: Eukaryota; Metazoa; Mollusca; Cephalopoda; Sepiida; Sepiidae. The record is from the annotation of a GenBank genome assembly.